GUUUAGGUCUAUCCUGAUGGGGCUUUCCUGCCUGCACAUCACUGGAAACGCCUCAUAGGGUAACUCUGUGGGUUUGUUUUACUCACAGGACUAUUUAUUAGACCUGUGAGAAGGAACUAUAAGACAGAG
RNAcentral lists this small nucleolar RNA (129 nucleotides) under Carlito syrichta (Philippine tarsier). Lineage: Eukaryota; Metazoa; Chordata; Mammalia; Primates; Tarsiidae. The record is from RNAcentral.